Molecule: long non-coding RNA, 253 nt
Filed under: Homo sapiens (human)
Lineage: Eukaryota; Metazoa; Chordata; Mammalia; Primates; Hominidae
Description: LHRI_LNC1924.1
Source: RNAcentral
CAAGCACUAGUCUUGGAUGACCCCUUGAUAGGAACGUUGUAGACAAGAUUCAAAUAUCAAAUAGUAUUUGGACUAGUGAUUUCAAAGUCUAUUCCAGACCCCUGUGAAACUGUAUUUCCAACCUUGGCAUUUCUGGAUUUCCACUAAAUUAAGCCACUUUCCUUGCUCAUUAGCAUCUUGUAGAGCUGUGUGGCUAUUUGAGCGCUUGAAUGUGGCUAGUCCAAAUUGAGAUGUGCUAUAUGAGAUAAACACC